This 1644-nucleotide unclassified non-coding RNA is filed under the name Leishmania donovani. RNAcentral describes it as "gene:LdHU3.09.0790(CDS-product:cyclin_1)". Lineage: Eukaryota; Euglenozoa; Kinetoplastea; Trypanosomatida; Trypanosomatidae. The record is from RNAcentral.
AGGCAUACGAUCAGCGUAGAGCUGGCGCACAGCAGUCGAUUCGCACACAGCGACGGCAGCGGCAUCAUCGUUGCCUCUCUCCCCCCGUGUGUAUAUACAUAUAUAUAUAUAUAUGUAUAUUCGUGUGUUGUUAAACACAAGUACGUACAGAAAGCGCUCCCUCCCCCCGUUACCACCUCUGACGUGCCCACCCUGCUCGCACACUCGCUCGACAACUUGAGAACUGCACAAGAAGGAAGGAGGCAUGGGCGCGCCGCACUUGAAUUCCAUUCGCGCCUGCUUGGCCGGCUCCGGCCACGACGCCUUCAGUGAGCCUGUCACGAUCGACCACCUCCUCUCACUCGUGGCGACACCCAAGACCGGGGUGGUGAGUGUCGCCUACGUUGGUACCGCCACCUACGACCUCGCAGAGAGCCAGGCGGAGCAGACAUCCCUGCUACUGCAACGUGGCUGGACGGUUCGACCGAUCCAAGUUGCUGACCCUGCCGUGAAGGCGGUCAACGACGGCGAUGCGCAUUUUAUUCAAACCGCGGCCGAUAUUGUACUCGUCUCGGGCGGCAACACACUCUACGCGGUGCGGCGGUGGGAAGAAACGGGGCUCGCGCGGCUGCUCAAGGACGCUGCGGCGCGCCAGGUCGUUAUGGCGGGCGGCAGUGCCGGUGCGAUCUGCUGGUUCACCUCGGGCCACAGCGACUCCGCAGACCCCGCAACGUACCUGCAGCCGUCGUUGAAGAGGGCGGCACUGAAGAUGGGCCUGAUCCCGCAAGAUCAGAUCUCCAAGACCGAGGCAGAACUCGCGGAUCUCAGCACCUCCUGGUCCUACAUCCGCGUGCGUGGCCUCAACAUUCUGCCGGGGAUGCUGUGCCCCCACUUUGAUGUAACUCAAGGCAACGGCGUACGACGUGAGGAGGACUUCACCAAGAUGCUGAAGCGGCACCCAACCGAGCGGGGCAUCGGCGUGGAUCACUGGGCGCUGCUCAUCCUGAAGGGCGACGGCACGUACGAGAGUGCCGCGCUGCCGGGCAAGACCCGCGUCACGACCCCAGGCAAUACCUCGCCCACUUCAACGGUGCCGGGCAUCUUUGUCCUGGAUGUGGUGGACGGUGCUGUCCAGCGACGCCGCGUGCCCACGACGGGGCAGCUGUCGGAUGUCCUGCGAGAGCCGGCGGGGCCAGUGGUGCUGGAUCCGUUUGAGCGUUUCCACGCCAUGGAAAACCCGACGUCGUCGUCCGGGUCUUUGAUGCAGCGCUGAGCUGCGUGGGUGCACGCCAGUCCCGGCGACACUGUCUCAGCCUUUUGCCACAGCCCUGGUGACUGGUUGUUCGAGCGAAGCACAUGGACGGGAGCGACCGCUCAGAGAGAGAGAGGGAGAGAAGCACAACAGGUGAUGCAAGCCAGAAUAUAUGUCAGACCUUUCCCACACAUAUACAUACAUACGCACGUACAUAUCCCGCACACCGCUGCCUCCCUCCCUGCCUCUCGCUCUCUCUCCUCUCCCACGCAGGCAUACACGCGAAGGUGCGGAGAGGGAGAGAGGCACGAGGAGGGUCACGGAGGCACCGCUGUCGCUUACUUUGUUUUGUCUUUGGGUGUGUGUCUGUGUGUGUGUGCACGUGUGUAUAAGCUCGAAACGCCCCGACAGAU